CUUAGAGUGUGUGAGAGGAAUUCUGUCAAAGUCGCGUUUUUGUUUAUGAUUUUGCAUUGUAACACACUGCAGUCUGCAGGUCUACAGAGAUAGAUGUGGAGCCUUACAGGAGUGUUGAGCUGGAGUGUCAGGGUCCGGAAAAUGGCAAACUCAUCCUGCUGGCGUGGAAAAGACCUGAUCUGCUAUCAGAUGGAUACGUCUUCUUCUACCGAGAUGAUCUCCCACAUAAAAACUUCCAGGAUCCGAUUUUUAAGGAUCGAGUGAAGCCGAGAGAUCCACAGAUGAAAAAUAUGGAUAUGUCCAUCAUCCUGAGCAACACCACCAUUAAUGACACUGGAACCUACGAGUGUUGUAUCGUCGUGGAAGACACAGGAGACAGUAGGCAAGAAACCUCUGAGAUCAAGCAUGAAAUCAGGCUGAAGGUUAGACUACUAGGUCCAACAGAAAGAUUCGGAGAUGGAGGGAAGAGGCUGGAUUCAGUAUCGGACAGAAUGGACUGCUGAUAUCUCUGGGAUUUUCUGCAGUUGGAUUAAUUGUUCUUGUUAUUACUCUUCUGAUGCCUAAAAAACAGGAACAUCAUCCCAGCUCAUCCUAGUGAAGAAGAUGACAACCAGUUUGUCUUGAAGUAAACAUCUGGUCAACCAGGAGCACUUAGAGAAACAGAAAGAAGCUGGAC
This is a long non-coding RNA of Oreochromis niloticus (Nile tilapia), 676 nucleotides long. RefSeq lists it as uncharacterized. Lineage: Eukaryota; Metazoa; Chordata; Actinopteri; Cichliformes; Cichlidae. The transcript has 4 exons. The record is from RefSeq and is a predicted model, not a curated record.